GAAGUGAAUAAAAUAGCUUUGGUGAAGCGAACCCGGGGAACUGAAACAUCUCAGUACCCGGAGGAAAGGACAUCAACCGAGACUCCCGUAGUAGUGGCGAGCGAACCGGGACCAGGCCAGUGCUCUUGUGAAAUAAAGACGAACGAUCUGGAAAGGUCGGCCAUAGUGGGUGAAAGCCCCGUAGUCAUCAAACAGCAAGAGACUCGAGUAGGGCGGGACACGUGAAAUCCUGUCUGAACAUGGGGGGACCACCCUCCAAGCCUAAGUACUCCUCUACGACCGAUAGUGAACAAGUACCGUGAGGGAAAGGUGAAAAGCACCCCGACAAGGGGAGUGAAACAGAUCCUGAAAUCGGAAGCCUACAAGCAGUCGGAGCCGCCAAGCGCGGUGACGGCGUACCUUUUGUAUAAUGGGUCAGCGACUUCAUGUGUCGAGCAAGCUUAAGCCGUUAGGUGUAGGCGCAGCGAAAGCGAGUCUGAAUAGGGCGAAUGAGUUUGAUGCAUUAGACCCGAAACCCGGUGAUCUAGGCAUGACCAGGCUGAAGGUGCGGUAACACGCACUGGAGGGCCGAACCGUUCAAUGUUGAAAAAUUGUCGGAUGAGUUGUGUUUAGGGGUGAAAGGCCAAUCAAGCCGGGAAAUAGCUGGUUCUCCGCGAAAUCUAUUGAGGUAGAGCGUCGGACGAAUACCUUGGGGGGUAGAGCACUGGAUGGAUGCGGGGGUCGCGAGAUCUACCAAUUCUAACCAAACUCCGAAUACCCAAGAGUACUAUCCGGCAGACAGACGGUGGGUGCUAACGUCCAUCGUCAAAAGGGAAACAACCCUGACCGCCAGCUAAGGCCCCCAAAUCAUGGCUAAGUGUGAAAGGAUGUGGGGAUCCCAAAACAACCAGGAUGUUGGCUUAGAAGCAGCCAUCAUUUAAAGAAAGCGUAACAGCUCACUGGUCUAAAUAAGGGUCUUUGCGCCGAAAAUGUAACGGGGCUAAAGCCAUACACCGAAGCUUAGGGUUCGCAGUAAUGCGAGCGGUAGCGGAGCGUUCUGUAAGCUGAUGAAGCCGUACCCGUGAGGGGCGGUGGAGGUAUCAGAAGUGCGAAUGCUGACAUGAGUAGCGUUAAAGGGGGUGAAAAGCCCCCUCGCCGUAAGCGCAAGGUUUUCUACGCAACGUUCAUCGGCGUAGAGUGAGUCGGCCCCUAAGGCGAGGCAGAGAUGCGUAGCUGAUGGGAAACAGGUCAAUAUUCCUGUACCG
Molecule: ribosomal RNA, 1244 nt
Filed under: Gloeochaete wittrockiana
Lineage: Eukaryota; Glaucocystophyceae; Gloeochaetales; Gloeochaetaceae
Description: partial Bacterial large subunit ribosomal RNA
Rfam family: Bacterial large subunit ribosomal RNA
Source: RNAcentral